UUUUUUUUUUUUUUUUUUUUUAAAGCGACAAUAAAACACAUCCAGCACAUGUAAGCUGAUCAUCUGCAAAUUAACUCAUACGUUCAGAAAUAACUGCUUGUUGUCAUGCAAAACUGUUAAUUCAAACAAGAAAGUGCUCAUUGAACGUCCACCUGCCACAGAGCAUUCACUUUAAAAGAAAUAGUAUCCUAAUCAAAUUAAUCAAGAAUCAAUGAUCAAAUCUACUCUGCACAUGCGCAAACAGAGUCGCCCCCUCUCCCUCCCUGACCCGAUCAUUCCUCAUGAUUAAUGCUAAUUCUAAUGACAGCAGCCCUGUCAGCUGGCCGCUCACAUGUACUGCCUUCAGGAGUCGCUCUCGUUACAAGAGGCGCACCAGCACCACGGAGGUGUGCCGCAGAGAGCAGAUGAGGGUGUGUGACGGAGUCUGUGUGUCCAGACAGACUCCACCCCAGCCUCACUUUCCUGUCGCCCGGCAACCCUUUAAGACACAACAAUGAACCAUCCACAGCCCGAAGGAAGAAGCUGACAGUCACAUGAACAGCGGCAGUCACAGCUGCUGCUGAGGAAUUUUGCUCUCCUUAAAAAAAAAAAAAAAAAAAAAGUACCCUAAUAAUCAGCAGUGUUAACAAUUAGUCCUCUGUCCCGGAGAGCUUGGAGACAUUCUUACUCACUCGGCCUCUUCUGUGGUUCACUGCAGUGCAGUGCCUAAUUAUAGCAGCGGAGUUGGCAAACACCAGAUCACCGGCACAAGUUCGACAAUGUUGUUUCAACAGGCUCGCGUUAUGUAACCGUCAGAUCUGGGCAGCAUUAAAGAACUCCUCAUGAGUUUCUGGGACCGUGAUGAAGCAUCCUUCAUAAACUUCUCAUGAGAUAAACAG
Poecilia latipinna (sailfin molly) is the source of this 878-nucleotide long non-coding RNA. RefSeq lists it as uncharacterized. NCBI's taxonomy places the organism in Eukaryota, Metazoa, Chordata, Actinopteri, Cyprinodontiformes, Poeciliidae. The transcript is spliced from 2 exons. The record is from RefSeq and is a predicted model, not a curated record.